CGGGUCAAUCUACACUGCAAACUGAUGAUUAUGGAUAUCUUUCGAAGGUCCCUUGAAGCCGCACAAAUGUCUGACCUCUACGGAUAUGCACACGAGACUUCAAUCUGAUCAGAAACUUCUUGAUCUUAUUGGGAUGCUAGCUCUCUUGCAGAGAUCGUAUCUUGACAGUUGAAGAAUCUUCUUUUCUCUCAUGACACUCUUAGAGAAGAAGAAGAUAAUAGGAGGAUGAUGAUCUCUAUGCUAGAGAUCAUGAGAAGAACCCUUUCUUCUC
This 271-nucleotide long non-coding RNA is filed under the name Elaeis guineensis (African oil palm). RNAcentral's name for it is "long non-coding RNA (EGUI_LNC058546)". Lineage: Eukaryota; Viridiplantae; Streptophyta; Magnoliopsida; Arecales; Arecaceae. The record is from RNAcentral.